This 2680-nucleotide small RNA is filed under the name Histoplasma ohiense. Its description in RNAcentral is "hypothetical lncRNA". The record is from RNAcentral. Lineage: Eukaryota; Fungi; Ascomycota; Eurotiomycetes; Onygenales; Ajellomycetaceae.
GCAACAAUAAACAGCUCCAUGGCGAUGAUAUCGCUGAUCGAUAUUAAUAUCUCCUCGCUGGCCUUGCUGCCGUCAUCAGUUCCGAGACAGCCAGAAAUACAACAAAUUCAAGGUAGCCAAAGCCUGGCAGGAUGUCAGUCAGUCAGUAUGUAAUAUUGCAGCGUACAUAAGAUAGCAAUCAUCACCAUCAUCACCAUCAUCAUCAUCGUCAUCGUAAUAAAUAAUAGCAUAUCAGAUAAAUAAAGGGGGGGUGUCAUCCGCGUUGACGACGUGAUUGAUUUGGCCUUGGUUUUUUUGUUUUUUUGUUCGACUUCGACCUGCCCCCCGCCCUCCCCUCCCUUCCCUUCUUCCCGGUUUAUUUAUCGAUUUCGUUUGUAUCGGCCAUUUAUUUAUUUAGUCGCUGCCGUCCCGCGUGUCUGUCGCCGCCGCCGCGGGCUAUGUUGUUUACCUAUUCGCUGCGUGAUCUCGAGGCUGACGGCUGCAUUUUGCAAGUAUUCCCCCAGGGCGUAUUUCAACAAAGAACAAAGAAAUAAAAUCUAGAGAAGAGAGAAGAGCAACAGCCGAAGCAGCCGAGACGAAACGAAGCAGAAGGCAAGCAAGCGCCCAGAGAGCGGGACCGUUCGAGUUGUUGUUUAUAUAUGUAGUUGGUUAGUUAGUUACUCGUACGGAGUAAAUAGUCGUCCUGCUUGUGGUUCUUUUUUUCCCAACUCGUCUCGCCGCCUCACUCUUCUUGUCUCUCGCUCUGCGGGCUGGUCUGCUCGCCCUCGCCUCACCGACUCUUCCUUGCGAUCUGUCCAUCCUGUUAGGUCCAUCCUGUUAGGUCCAUCCUGUUAGACACGGACACCUGUCUGCUGUCUGUUGCCUGCUGUCUGCCUCUCUGCUGGCUGCCUCGUACGCCUAGUUAGUCGCUCUGAACCACGGCAUCAUGGUCUCGUUCCAAUGCGAGGCGUGCGGCGAUGUCUUCACAAAGAAGAAGACCGAUUCCCACCGUAAUCAGUGUCGCGGCGCCCGUUUCUCCUGUCUAGAUUGCUCGGUCGAAUUCCCUGGAACCUCCUAUAGAGCCCAUACGUCAUGCAUAUCAGAAGCCCAAAAGUACCAGGGUGUCCUCUACAAGGAGAAGCCAAACAAGCCCAAGAAAUCCAAGUCCGUGACAAUAGCCGAACCCCCGACUUCCUCCAAACCUACUAGGCCCCCUGACCCUUGGGUUGAAGAUACUUCAGAUGUUGACGAUACCAGAUCUGCCUCCCAUAAUUAUUCUGCCCCUCCGUCCGCUCCAAGCCCCCCCCAGACCACGCCUCAACAGGAACCCGGAAACGCUUCAACCCUUACCACUACGACCCAGCCUAAUGCUCGUGUGAAUGUGUUUGAUUUUCUUGACACGACAGCCACCCCCAAUGCAUCGAAAGUUUCCCUGGGAGGAUCCAAUGCGCCAAUGGUUAUGCUGAAAAAUGCACCCCCGCUUUUCAAUGCGCCUAAGGAGCUUGCAAAACUUGACAAUGGGAGGGACGAUGAGGUAAUUUACGAUGUGGCAUUUGAGGAAAACGGCUUCUCCUAUGGCGCGGACACCCUAGAGGCACCACUAUACCAAAACGGAGGUGCAAAUGGAUCCACGGCUUCUUUCAACAGUUUCAUGACCCCAGCUCCAAAGCGGAAUAAGGACCGGACGUCCCGCCGGGAUCGGGAUCGGGAUCGAGACCGGGAUCGCGCCACUUCCCCGGACCAGUACCACACUCCUCAUAACAAUCUGACUAGCACAGGUGACAAGAAGCGUAAGCGUGGCCAUGUUGAAGACAUUGAUGCCCAGAUGGCCAACUCGACUUCACAUGGCGGUGGCGACGUCCCAAUGAUCGACGCCCCGCCUUCAAGUUCCAUUGCUAACCCAUCAACCCCAACACUGAGCCACUCAGGGCUCACCGGUGGCCUUAAUCGCAUGAUGAGAGACAUUUCCCCACCUACUCCAGACGCGGCCUAUUGCAGCGCCGACGAAGGAGGAGAUGAUGGGCGCUACCAAUUCCAAGACCCAGCAUCGCCUAUCAAACGCACCCGCAGGGCAGAUAGUGACUCUAACCAUAACGGCAGCGGCAAUAACAAUAACAAUAACAGCAACGAUAAGAACAGCAAUGACUCCGUGAACGAGAACGACACCGCGCUCGCGCUCGCGAUCAAGGAUCGCGCAGACCACAUCAUGUCCCUACUCGCCCGCAACGGCAACGUCUUUCCCAAACCAAAACCCAAACCGUACAACUCCUACCCUCUCUCCCUUGAGGCGGGUAAGGAUGGCAAGCGCCAUAGCCUCGCUGAAGCCGUCAUCCCCCCAGCCGUGGCUGCUGCGGAGGCGCGGCUGGAGAAGAAGAGACAGCGUGCUGCGCUGGCGCAGCCGGAGCGACGGGUGGUGACGAAGAAGAGGGUGGUGGGCGAUGGGGGCAAUAAGGGUUCCAGUGUUGGUGCUGGUGCGGCUACGCGUACGCGCACACGCGCGGGUUCUGGCGCUGGCGCUGGUUCCGGUCGUAGUGGGAAGGAUAAUAAUACCGCCGCCUCACGCCGUCUGAAGGCCAUCGAGUAUCAUGCGGACGACGCGGGCGGGAACGUCGCGGAGAAUCAUGCUAACCAUGAUAAUCAACUCGUCGUUUACGGUGGUGGGAGUAGUAGUGGGGCUAGUGGCGGUUAUAAACGGAGUGAG